UCCCUGGUAGUUCAGUGGUUAGGACUCAGCGUUUUCAUUGCUGGGGCCCAGGUCCAAUCCCUGGUCAGGGAA
RNAcentral lists this transfer RNA (72 nucleotides) under Bos taurus (domestic cattle). It matches the Rfam family "tRNA". Rfam says of the family: Transfer RNA (tRNA) molecules are approximately 80 nucleotides in length. Their secondary structure includes four short double-helical elements and three loops (D, anti-codon, and T loops). Further hydrogen bonds mediate the characteristic L-shaped molecular structure. tRNAs have two regions of fundamental functional importance: the anti-codon, which is responsible for specific mRNA codon recognition, and the 3' end, to which the tRNAs corresponding amino acid is attached (by aminoacyl-tRNA synthetases). tRNAs cope with the degeneracy of the genetic code in two manners: having more than one tRNA (with a specific anti-codon) for a particular amino acid; and 'wobble' base-pairing, i.e. permitting non-standard base-pairing at the 3rd anti-codon position. Lineage: Eukaryota; Metazoa; Chordata; Mammalia; Artiodactyla; Bovidae. The record is from Rfam by way of RNAcentral. RNAcentral also lists the same sequence under 5 other names.